CACAAAGUUCGUCGAGAGAAGCUUUUGUGGAAAUAUGUUGAGUGCCCGCAACAACAAGGAGGCACGGAGUGCGGUUAUUUUGUGAUGCGGUACAUUUUUGACGUACUCGCUUCAUAUUUUGGUUCGUUGGAUAUGGACAAAGUUGCUCAAACCUUUACCAAAGAUCCUUAUACGGAGGAUCAAAUCAAUGAGGUGAAGAAUAAGUGGGCAAGAUACUUUGUUGAUGAGUGCAUUGCUUAGGUUAGUUAGUUUAUGUUAUAUUCUUUGUUUUUCUAA
Beta vulgaris subsp. vulgaris (sugar beet) is the source of this 276-nucleotide long non-coding RNA. RefSeq lists it as uncharacterized. Lineage: Eukaryota; Viridiplantae; Streptophyta; Magnoliopsida; Caryophyllales; Amaranthaceae. The record is from RefSeq and is a predicted model, not a curated record. The transcript is spliced from 3 exons.